This 1238-nucleotide long non-coding RNA is filed under the name Homo sapiens (human). RNAcentral describes it as "non-protein coding lnc-CDH6-19:1". The record is from RNAcentral. Lineage: Eukaryota; Metazoa; Chordata; Mammalia; Primates; Hominidae.
ACAGUCUCAUUCAGUUGCUGCAUCAAGCUUGAAGUCCACAAAUUACAGAAAAGGGGUCCCAAUCCAGACCCCAAGAGAGGGCUCUUGGAUCUCACGCAAGAAAGAAUUCAGGGUGAGUCCAUAAAGUGAAAGCAAGUUUAUUAGAAAAGUAAAGGAAUAAAAGAAUGUCUACUCCAUAGACAGAGCAGCCCCAAGGCAUCUUGGCUGAUACAGAUUACCUUGGACUUUCUUUUCCAUGUGGCUGGUUUUUGCCUACGACUGAAGGUUCUUCCUAUUUUUUCCCAUGACUGAUGAUGUUCAUUCAUAUUUAACAACAAAAACCUGGGUGACUGGUGUAGCUUUCUUCUGCCAUUGUGAAGUUUGAUGGCAUGUCUUUAUAUCAUGGCCAUGGGCAGGACUUGGAAAAAGUUUUACCACUAAAGCAUCUAUGAACUCAAGAAAGAAAACACUGGCUAUGUACAAUGAUGACUGUGAUCUUUUAAAUUUAUCUCAAAUAGCGAACCUACCAGUCAUACUGAGAGGAAAUCACCACUGGAGAUCCCAGAAGCAUAACAAUUGUCCCUUCCAAGUAGCAAGAAGUUACUUCAUCUUCUCAUCAGGACAAGGUUUCCAACUCUGUUGCCUCUGCAGGGGUGGAUUUGUGGAUCCUGAAUUCUGGCAGCUGUGUGAUCCACACCUUGGCUAGCACCAGAGGUCAUUGGCUAAGUGCUAUGACAGCAGGGAUUCUCCAAGGCCAAGCCCAUGGGGUUCAGGCCAGGGAUGAUCAAUCAUCAGGCGAAGGUUCCAGGACAUGAAGUGCAUCACAGGUGCUCUCCAGGAACAGGUACCCAGCCAUGCAGGACUAGGAGAGGCCCAGGGCAGCCCUGAUUCUCACAUGUCCACCCACUGGCAGGAGCUGACAGCUGUGCAUGACUAGCUCUCAAAGGCCCAGCUGCAUCCUGCCUCCUCCUGCUUCUGUUGAGUCUGGCAGCUACAAGCAAGAGUAUGGGAAAGCAGAAGACAGGAAGACAGGUGAACUCAUGGAAGACGGAGGCAGAGGGGAAAGUAGAGGCUCUGCAGACCCCAUCAUGGAGAACAAGAAACCGAGUGGGAGCUUAUCGACUUCAGCCUUACCCCAGGACGCACUCUCAACCAAGUUUACUCUCUGAACAGCUCUGAAACUUUUGGUUCAGUCGUGGCUGAACCAACAGGAAAUCAAGGGAAAUGGCACUUAUUUAUUAUGCAGCCGUAGGCCAAUU